UGACCAUAACGACGUCGCCUGCGUGCACACACGUAGGGCCCUUUUCAGCGCGCACACCUCCCGUGGGGCAUGUCCCCUAGCUCUCACGACAGGGAUUUCUGGGCUUUUCACCCAUGAAGAGCCCAGCGCUUCAGAUAGUCCAAGCAGUCAGCUCAACAUCACACGGCUGAUCCAGAGGUUGAGCUUGGGCCUCCUGCUACGUCCAGGGCUCCUGUGCUGGAGGACUUUCAUCGCACUCAAGCAUGGAAAUAAUCAGAUGAAUAAUGAGCCUGUGAAGACGGAUGCCGUCUGAGCCAGCUCCCACAGAAGGGAAUCCUACGCCGGGAUUCCCGCCUCGAGCAGCACAGGACCAUGGAUGUUUCCGCAGAAGGCUGGCCCUCGUUUGCUCCGUUGGCAGCCGAUUGUUCCUCUCCACGGACAGCAGAGAGGCUUCGGAUUUAAUAGUGCUGGAAGCUCUGUGUUCCAGGAGCGGGGAGGAGAUGAGCGCUGGUGGGCUCAGGGAUGACAGCACAGAACCUCGUGCUGGGGACAGAAGGCCGCCUCUGACCCUGAGUCGGCUGCCAGUUGGGCCAGCCACCCUCCGCAGAAGGUUUUCCCACGCAGAGGUGGCCACCCGACCUGGUGACGAGCCACGGUGCGCCCGUGCUCACCUAUUGCUGGAUCACAAACCAUCCCCAAACUCGAGGCUUCACGCCAAGUUGUUCUCCACCUUGCCAUUCUACGGGCCAGGUUUCUGUUCCAUGUCGCGUUGGCUGGGGUGGCCCGACUGGGGCUGGAGGAUCCACCGUGGCCUCGCUCGCGCGUCCGGGAGCGUGGUGCUGGCGGUCGGCGGGGUGCCUCAGGUUCCCUCCACACGGCCCCCCUCCGGCAGCGCAGCCCGGACUCGUUUACGCGGCAGCUGGGUUCCAGGAACAACAGUGAAACGACGGUGAGCUCCGUGGGGAAACACCUGUGUUCUCUGCACCCCACGGGGCAGGCGCAGCACGGCACAGCGGCUCAGUCACAUGUUCUCCGGACUGUGGAUGGGGCAGCGAGAGGAAGAGAAAAGAGGGCUGCCCCGAGGUCCCGAGUUAGACAAGCCUCAGAAGACGAACGUCCUCCAGGGAGAAAAGACAGCUGUUCUGGAAAAUGGGCCUGGCCUACAGACUGUGCCCAGCCACAGUGGGGAGAGGCUGGCAGUCACAUUCAUCCGUCACGGGCAUCUCUAGUUGGCUCUUAGCAAGCCCAGGGGAAAAGGCAUUUCUCUCUCUCCUA
RNA transcript from Leopardus geoffroyi (Geoffroy's cat), 1254 nucleotides. RefSeq lists it as uncharacterized. The transcript has 3 exons. The record is from RefSeq and is a predicted model, not a curated record. NCBI's taxonomy places the organism in Eukaryota, Metazoa, Chordata, Mammalia, Carnivora, Felidae.